This 775-nucleotide ribosomal RNA is filed under the name uncultured Neocallimastigales. Its description in RNAcentral is "partial large subunit ribosomal RNA". It matches the Rfam family "Eukaryotic large subunit ribosomal RNA", at positions 23 to 640 of the family's 3401-position model. The record is from RNAcentral. Lineage: Eukaryota; Fungi; Neocallimastigomycota; Neocallimastigomycetes; Neocallimastigales.
ACACGCAUGACACACUGCAUAUCAAUAAGCGGAGGAAAAGAAACUAACAAGGAUUCCCUUAGUAACGGCGAGUGAAGCGGGAAGAGCUCAAAUUUGAAAUCUUCAAGGUUCUACCUUGACGAAUUGUAGUUUAUAGAAGUGUUUUCUGUUAGUAGAGUGGCAAAAGUUCUUUGGAAUAGGACAUCAUAGAGGGUGAGAAUCCCGUAUUUGGUCAUUCUUUCUAGCUUUGUGAUACACUUUCAACGAGUCGGAUUGUUUGGGAAUGCAGUCCAAAAUGGGUGGUAAAUUUCAUCUAAAGCUAAAUAUUGGCGAGAGACCGAUAGCGAACAAGUACCGUGAGGGAAAGAUGAAAAGAACUUUGAAAAGAGAGUUAAACAGUACGUGAAAUUGUCAAAAGGGAAGCGUUUGACACCAGUGUUGUUUUUCCGAAAAUCAAUUACGAAUGUUUUGUUUUUAAGAAGUUAUGACUUCAUCGGCUUGCUUCUUUCUUUACGAAACUUUCUUAAUGCACUUUUCGGUUAACAAGUCAACAUCAAUUUCCUUUGCUGUAAAAGGGUAUGAGGAAGGUGGCUUCAUUUCGAAUUGAAAGUGUUUAUAGCCUUGUACCUCUGCAAUCGGAGAGAUUGAGGUCUGCAGCGUAGAUCCUUCGGGGUUAGAUACAUUUGUGCUAAGUUAUAGCUUUUCAUAGACAACUUGUUGACUAUGUUUAGUCUUGUAGCUUACUCGCUUAUGCUAUUUUACCUACGCUUAGGAUGUUGAUCUACAGAGCGAGAGU